UCCCCGUUAUCCGGGGCGGUUUCGCCAGAGUGCCCAGCAUAACCUGAUGGCAACUGGCAAUAAGGGUUGCGCUCGUUGCGGGACUUAACCCAACAUCUCACGACACGAGCUGACGACAGCCAUGCAGCACCUAUGCAGCACCCCUUGCGGGAAGGGAUGUUUCCACCCCGAUGCACUGCAUUUCGAGCCCAGGUAAGGUUCUUCGCGUUGCGUCGAAUUGAACCACAUGCUCCACCGCUUGUGCGGGCCCCCGUCAAUUCCUUUGAGUUUCAGUCUUGCGACCGUACUCCCCAGGCGGAUUGCUUAUCGCGUUAGCUUCGGCACAUUGGGAUUGGGUACCCAAUACACCAAGCAAUCAUCGUUUAGGGCUAGGACUAC
RNAcentral lists this unclassified non-coding RNA (378 nucleotides) under uncultured Terriglobales bacterium. RNAcentral's name for it is "uncultured Acidobacteriales bacterium contains 16S-23S intergenic spacer region". The record is from RNAcentral. Lineage: Bacteria; Pseudomonadati; Acidobacteriota; Terriglobia; Terriglobales.